UCCCUCUCAGGGUCGCACCUGGAGAAUUUCCAGUACUUUACCAGUCUCGGCUACAGGAGGGAGAGCCAAGCAGAGGCAUAUCCAUUCCAUUCCUAGCUUGACCAGUGGCUAGCGAGUGGCAGGCCAUCUGCUACAAGU
RNAcentral lists this small nucleolar RNA (138 nucleotides) under Ornithorhynchus anatinus (platypus). The record is from RNAcentral. Lineage: Eukaryota; Metazoa; Chordata; Mammalia; Monotremata; Ornithorhynchidae.